UUACCAGGCCUUGACAUGCAGAGAACUUUCCAGAGAUGGAUUGGUGCCUUCGGGAACUCUGACACAGGUGCUGCAUGGCUGUCGUCAGCUCGUGUCGUGACGAUGUUGGGUUAAGUCCCGUUAACGAGCGCAACCCUUGUCCUUAGUUACCAGCACGUUAUGGUGGGCACUCUAAGGAGACUGCCGGUGACUAAACCGGAGGAAGUGGGGAUGACGUCAAGUCAUCAUGGCCCUUACGGCCUGGGCUACACACGUGCUACAAUGGUCGGUACAAAGGGUUGCCAAGCCGCGAGGUGGAGCUAAUCCCAUAAAACCGAUCGUAGUCCGGAUCGCAGUCUGCAACUCGACUGCGUGAAGUCGGAAUCGCUAGUAAUCGUGAAUCAGAAUGUCACGGUGAAUACGUUCCCGGGCCUU
This 414-nucleotide ribosomal RNA is filed under the name uncultured Pseudomonas sp. RNAcentral's name for it is "bacterial SSU rRNA". It matches the Rfam family "Bacterial small subunit ribosomal RNA", at positions 971 to 1382 of the family's 1533-position model. The record is from RNAcentral. Lineage: Bacteria; Pseudomonadati; Pseudomonadota; Gammaproteobacteria; Pseudomonadales; Pseudomonadaceae.